RNAcentral lists this ribosomal RNA (260 nucleotides) under uncultured bacterium. RNAcentral describes it as "partial 16S ribosomal RNA". It matches the Rfam family "Bacterial small subunit ribosomal RNA", at positions 524 to 776 of the family's 1533-position model. The record is from RNAcentral.
UACGGGGGGGCAAGCGUUCGUUCGGAAUUACUGGGCUGUAAAGGGCUACGGUGGCGGCCACUAAGUCGGACGGUGAAUCCCAGGACUCAACCUGGGAACUGCGUCCGAUACUGGAUGGCUUGAAUUCGGGAGAGGGAUGCGAAGAAGUUCCAGGUGUAGCGGUGAAAUGACGCAGAUAUCAGGAGGAACACCGGUGGCGAAGGCGGGUCUCUGGGCCGGAUACUGACGCUGGAGGAGCGAAAGCGUGGGGAGCGAACAGG